RNAcentral lists this long non-coding RNA (920 nucleotides) under Heterocephalus glaber (naked mole-rat). RNAcentral describes it as "lncRNA (ENSHGLG00000034989.1)". The record is from RNAcentral. Lineage: Eukaryota; Metazoa; Chordata; Mammalia; Rodentia; Bathyergidae.
GGCCGCGCUGGCCGGGCUCCGCCUCCCGCCGGCGGUCAGAGACGCCCCCCACGGUCAGCGCUGGGAGGGGGAGGGGGUGACCUGCAGGAAAUGCCGGGCCGGGUUGCCGAGCUUCAGCCCGGAGCCCCUCCUCAGCAAUGCCAGCCGCUUCUGCUGGCGUCAGGAUGCUGCCUUUUCUGGUGUAAGCUGCAACUCCUCCUGGAAGCGAAAGCUCCGGCGGGAUUUCCUCUCCACGGAGGGUGUAUGUGAGGUCUGAACUGCCCCCAGAGCUGUACUGCAGCCUCCUCUGACUCAGGGAAGAACUUCCACUGGAUUCUUACUGACCACGCCGAUGCCCAGUGCUGGGAGGAACAAGAAAAUUUAGCCAGGACCAUUAUCUGCCCACAUUGCUCCUUCGGCAGUGGAAGAUGAACAAACUGAGAUCAAGGCGGAAAAAAACUUAACCACUGGUCGCAGUCCUACCCACAGCCCUCCAGGAUUAGCACCAAGACUUGACUUCACUAUUUCAGGGCCAGGAGAAGAAAGAGCACAUUACAGCUGGUGACAGAGCUGAGGAUUCAGCAAAUCCUGGAAGCCUUUGCCUGUUCUUCCUUCUUUCCACUGGGAGUCACAUGUGUAAGCAGCAACACAAGGAAGAAGAAAGACAGUGGACCCAAACAAAUCAGGAAUCAAGAUCCCAAGCUGGAAGGAAUACACUCAGAUGGCAACAGUGGUGGCCUGGAGGAGCAGGAACACUGCUAUCAUUCCAUACCUCAACCUCCUAUCUCCUGGAGCUCUUCGGAAGUGGCUGCUGUGGAUGGCCCAGAUGUAGCCCUGUGGCUGGAGCCCGGUCUUGGCACAAUUUCCUGGACCACAAAUGGCUUUCCUGAGAGCAAGUUCUUCAGCUUGCACUCAGGGAUGAGUAGCUGGAGACAUUUCCC